RNAcentral lists this transfer RNA (76 nucleotides) under Oscillospiraceae bacterium. RNAcentral's name for it is "tRNA-Ala". It matches the Rfam family "tRNA". From Rfam's summary of the family: Transfer RNA (tRNA) molecules are approximately 80 nucleotides in length. Their secondary structure includes four short double-helical elements and three loops (D, anti-codon, and T loops). Lineage: Bacteria; Bacillati; Bacillota; Clostridia; Eubacteriales; Oscillospiraceae. The record is from RNAcentral.
GGGCCUGUAGCUCAGUCGGGAGAGCGUUCGGUUCGCAACCGAAAGGCCGAGGGUUCGACCCCCUUCAGGUCCACCA